This 122-nucleotide ribosomal RNA is filed under the name Papilio glaucus (eastern tiger swallowtail). Lineage: Eukaryota; Metazoa; Arthropoda; Insecta; Lepidoptera; Papilionidae. The record is from RNAcentral.
GCCAACGUCCACACCACGUUGAACACACCGGUUCUCGUCCGAUCACCGAAGUUAAGCAACGUCGGGCGCGGUCAGUACUUGGAUGGGUGACCGCCUGGGAACACCGCGUGAUAUUGGCUUUU